Molecule: long non-coding RNA, 408 nt
Organism: Salvelinus namaycush (lake trout)
Lineage: Eukaryota; Metazoa; Chordata; Actinopteri; Salmoniformes; Salmonidae
Exons: 3
Source: RefSeq, a predicted model, not a curated record
GAAAGCGAACAGCUGUCUUCCCGUACCCACUGUGCAUCGAUGUCGACCGGCAGAUGGAACAGGUAUAGAAAGUUAUAGGGACCAAUAAUAGGGGAUUCGAUAAACCCAAUCAUUGAUCACAGCGAUUGAUCGGUCAAGUCCCACCAAGGGGAUAGUCCCGCCAAGGAAGAUACACCAACGCAUAGCCAUCGCAACAGUUCUGUCAUCUGAGGAUUGCGCAAGAGGUAUGCAUGCAGAGGUCAAGCUUUCAUUUCUGAAGAGGGGAAAAAGGGUAGUGAACAUUGAAGACAGAAAGCUGAAACUUGACAACUGCCUCAGCCCCCUGUGACACAGAACAUUUCUGGCUGGAGCUGAAGCUACGUUGGGUGUGUAAGGGGUCUACUGAGUAGAAGCACAGAGGCCGAAGCA